ACGGAGGAUGCAAGCGUUAUCCGGAUUCAUUGGGUUUAAAGGGUGCGUAGGCGGGAUAGCAAGUCAGUGGUGAAAGCCUACAGCUUAACUGUAGAACUGCCAUUGAUACUGUUGUUCUUGAGUACAGUUGAAGUAGGUGGAAUGUGUGGUGUAGCGGUGAAAUGCUUAGAUAUCACACAGAACGCCGAUUGCGAAGGCAGCUUACUAAGCUGUUACUGACGCUGAGGCACGAAAGCGUGGGGAUCAAACA
This 250-nucleotide ribosomal RNA is filed under the name uncultured bacterium. Its description in RNAcentral is "partial 16S ribosomal RNA". It matches the Rfam family "Bacterial small subunit ribosomal RNA", at positions 525 to 774 of the family's 1533-position model. The record is from RNAcentral.